Molecule: long non-coding RNA, 461 nt
Filed under: Parus major (Great Tit)
Lineage: Eukaryota; Metazoa; Chordata; Aves; Passeriformes; Paridae
Description: lncRNA (ENSPMJG00000011714.1)
Source: RNAcentral
GUGUGGGAGUGUGUAAAUGUGGGGCAGUGUGUGUGUGUUUAUGGGGCAGUGUGUGUGUGUGGGGCACUGUGUGUGUGUGUGGGGCAGUGUGUGGGGCACUUUGUGUGUGUGUAUGGGGCAGUGUGUACGUGUGUGUCACCGUGUGUACACAUGUGUCACUGUGUGUGUGUGUGUGGCACCGUGUACACGUGUGGCACUGUGUGUGGGGCAGUGUGUGUGUGUAUGGGGCAGUGUGUACACGUGUGUCACACUGUGUGUGUGUGUGUGUGUCACCGUGUGUAGACAUGUGUCACACUGUGUAUAUGUGUCACACUCUGUACCCAUGUGUCACCGUGUGUACACGUGUGACACUGUGUGUGUGUGUGUCACCGUGUGUACACGUGUGUCACCGUGUGUACGUGUGUCACCGUGUGUACGUGUGUCACCGUGUGUACGUGUGUCACCGUGUGUACAUGUGUCAC